GCUGCUGUAGCUCAGUGGUAGAGCACUCCCUUGGUAAGGGAGAGGUCGAGAGUUCAAUCCUCUCUAGCAGCA
Transfer RNA from Roseomonas sp., 72 nucleotides. It matches the Rfam family "tRNA". From Rfam's summary of the family: Transfer RNA (tRNA) molecules are approximately 80 nucleotides in length. Their secondary structure includes four short double-helical elements and three loops (D, anti-codon, and T loops). Lineage: Bacteria; Pseudomonadati; Pseudomonadota; Alphaproteobacteria; Acetobacterales; Roseomonadaceae. The record is from Rfam.